CAGCUAGUUACAUUAUGGAUUAACAUUAAGAAUGUCUGCAGUGAAACAUUACUCCUGUGGCUGUGUAGGACUUACUUGAACAAUGUAACUUGUAUUGCAGAACCACGAUUUUCCUCACACACUCGCAGUAAUAUAUGUGACCAAGGCAGCUUUGAAGCCGUUCCCAAGAAUCCUUCCUCCUUCUGUGGGAUGCCUUAUCUGUGGAGUUUCUGAUUCUGAACUUCGUUCUGCAGUCCUUCACUCUUGUGCCAUGCAGUUGAGGAAGAGUUGCUCAGGUGAGCGAGGUGAGCCCCAGACCUUUAUUAGGGAAUGAAGAUGGCAGGAGUGCAUGGUGCAGAAGUGUUAAAACAAAAGCUUUAUUUGUCCCUGUCUUCCAAUUGGGAGGGGAUAAAAGGAAAUAAAAGUAACUACAGUUCAGUGGCAGGGAGAACAGUAUAAAGAGAAGUCUUGCAAAGGCUCAUUAAUAACCUGUUUGUCACCCAGGUCUCCUGCUGGCAAGGCCUCUCUCUUUUAUGCCAUGACACCUUUUAUAGGUGUUUCUGCAGUUCCCCCGGAAGGGUUCUCCACCACCACGGAGAGUUAAUCCUGCUCUGCGGUGCUGGGUUGCCUGAAUUCUUUUAUGUUAAAGGACACUUGUCCUGGGAGACGCAGAGCAGCUCACUGAAGGGAGCUGGGGGCAUCUUGCAGCACAGAGCCACAGGACAGGGAGAGGAACUGCAGUAUGCUGAAAACAGCUGGAAGAAUCCGCAGCCUGCUACAGUUACUCCUCUAAUACAGCCUGUCCUUGCCUGCUCACUCUCAUUCUCCCAUGAAACCUAAGUUACGGCCCUGCCUCCUCCUUGCUGUUUCUUUUUAUUUAUUUAUUUUUCCAGAGAGAACCACAAUUUGCUUAUGCUUUUGUAGGAGGAGCAACGAUUCCUUGCAGCUUUCUGCUACACGGUUCACCCGUGGAAGGGCCAGGUAGAAUCCGAAUGCAUUCAGUUUAGAAAUAAAACUUGGCGAGAACGAAACUGUCGCUGGGCUUUAUUGCUCUCAGUGAUGACUACAUGGUUGCUCACGGGUGUAAAUAAGUACAUUAGCUUCCAGUUUGUGUGCAAGUGCAAUGUGGAGUAUCAGAAAUUACCUGUAAAGGGCCUUGUGACGUACAGUCUGCAUCUUAGUUCACACAGCAGAAGAAAACACAUCUGUGAGUACUGUGCUCCUCCAUAUUAGCUCGUAUGACUGGGUUCUCUGAUGUGGUUUCAGAUCGAGCCCUGAUGUUUUUUCCACUGGAGGGGCUUUUUGCAGCAUCUCUCGCUCGUUCUCUCACACACAGACUCUCAGAUGUAUGCAUUCUCUGGUGCUGGCGAAGGCUUAACUUGCACUGCCUGUCUUGUAGAGACGCUCAGAGACAGUCUCUCCCUCCCCAGCCACAUAUUUUCACUAAAGUAAUUGAACUGCUACUUUUUUGGCUGCUAAAUUUGGUUGAUAUUUAGUUAAUGGGUUAAAAUGAUGAAUGACACUUGCAUAAACACACAUAACAUGUGGGAUCACCCUCCUUUCUGUUGUUGGCACGGCUGAAACUGGUUGUUCUAAGCUAUCUGACUGAAACUGUGUGUUACCAGACAACCCAGUCCGUGAAAAAAAUGGUGGGUAGCCUCAGUUACUGACUUCGAAGAACUGCUGAAAGUCACCGUCGGUGGUUCAGUGAUAUACCACGUCAGGAAUGUGAGCUCAUGCACUGCUUGUGCCAAAAGUAGAAGAAAACAUCUCAAAAACAGGUCCUUCAUCAGAUAGAUGUGAGGCUGACUGGGACCCCAGUCCUACACAGAGCGCUGUAUGGGCAGAUCUAUCUCUGCGUGAUGCGGGUGCAAGGAUCUGUGGGUAAGGGCUUCACUGCUACACUGCCUCAGCUCCCACUUUUAGCAUUUAGUGCUGUGCUGAAAACGUAGAAUUGAAUAAAAAUUGCUUUUGUUUUCAGGGUCACCAAACUCAGCAGUAUGUUACAAGAAAAGGAUGAGCCCAGUGUGGAGUUGCUGAUAAUUACUGAGUUGGUUUGACGUAUGCAGACUGCUGUUGACUUCAGUGGUCUUAUUUAACACAUUUGUUUCUUUGCAUUUUAGGAGUAGUCAAAACACAAUUUUGUGGGCCUUAAUCGAUGAGGCUGCGUAUCCUGGACUUUAAGCCUGGAGUUGCACACGUGUAUCAGCAGGAAAAAAAAAGUUUGGCCUUAGCCAGCAAUUAAUCAUGACUAGGACAAAUAACCUCUUCAGAACACUCAGGAUUUUUACUUUUAUUAAUCUCUGUUCAUAAAAAAAUAUUCCAAAGCAAGCAGUAGCACUCACAGUAGAGAUCUGGGGAAAUAAAUGGCCAAAGCUAUCACACUGUGACAGCUUUGGCAAACCUUUGCACAGUUUUAUAAAGCAAAUACAUGUGAUGUUCUAUUCUCUGGAUAGCUCUUUACAUUAGAUGUUCGUACUUGAAUAAAAUGGUUUUCUCUC
Anas platyrhynchos (mallard) is the source of this 2480-nucleotide non-coding RNA. The record is from RefSeq and is a predicted model, not a curated record. Lineage: Eukaryota; Metazoa; Chordata; Aves; Anseriformes; Anatidae.